AGCGGCGAACGGGUGAGUAAUACCUAGGAAUCUGCCUAUUAGUGGGGGAUAACGUUUCGAAAGGGACGCUAAUACCGCGUACGCCCUACGGGGGAAAGCAGGGGAUCUUCGGACCUUGCGCUAAUAGAUGAGCCUAGGCCGGAUUAGCUAGUUGGUAGGGUAAAGGCCUACCAAGGCUACGAUCUGUAGCUGGUCUGAGAGGAUGACCAGCCACACUGGAACUGAGACACGGUCCAGACUCCUACGGGAGGCAGCAGUGGGGAAUAUUGGACAAUGGGGGAAACCCUGAUCCAGCCAUGCCGCGUGUGUGAAGAAGGCCUUCGGGUUGUAAAGCACUUUAAGCGAGGAGGAAGGUUUACUAGAUAAUACCUAGUAGAAUUGACGUUACUCGCAGAAUAAGCACCGGCUAACUCUGUGCCAGCAGCCGCGGUAAUACAGAGGGUGCAAGCGUUAAUCGGAAUUACUGGGCGUAAAGCGCGCGUAGGCGGUUUGUUAAGUCGGAUGUGAAAUCCCUGGGCUCAACCUAGGCACUGCAUCCGAUACUGGCUAACUAGAGUGUGGGAGAGGAAGGUAGAAUUCCAGGUGUAGCGGUGAGAUGCGUAGAGAUCUGGAGGAAUACCGAUGGCGAAGGCAGCCUUCUGGCCUAACACUGACGCUGAGGUGCGAAAGCAUGGGGAGCAAACAGGAUUAGAUACCCUGGUAGUCCAUGCUGUAAACGAUGUCAACUAGC
RNAcentral lists this ribosomal RNA (730 nucleotides) under uncultured bacterium. Its description in RNAcentral is "bacterial SSU rRNA". It matches the Rfam family "Bacterial small subunit ribosomal RNA", at positions 94 to 820 of the family's 1533-position model. The record is from RNAcentral.